RNAcentral lists this long non-coding RNA (4721 nucleotides) under Chlamydomonas reinhardtii. RNAcentral describes it as "long non-coding RNA (CREI_LNC000809)". Lineage: Eukaryota; Viridiplantae; Chlorophyta; Chlorophyceae; Chlamydomonadales; Chlamydomonadaceae. The record is from RNAcentral.
CCCCAGCGCGGAAGCUGCUUAGUCAGCGGCUCCUAGGCUGCUGCCCACAAUCGCAUAAACGUGCAGGGUGCACCGGGGCUCGGGCCACGCCACAGUUGUACACAUGCUACAAUACGGGUGUGUCAACUCAAUCCACCCAGGUGCUUGCCAACAACGAGGAGACCAUAUUGAUGCCUGUGAACGAGCCCACCUUCGGCACGCCGCGCAAGAGCCAAAUCCAGACCUACCUGGAGCAGAACGAGGGGCCGGGGCUGCAGCACCUGGCGCUGCUCAGCAACGACAUCUUCACCACCCUGCGGUGAGUGGCCGGGUUCCGUAUUUCCAUGGCUUCAGCUGGCGCUGUGGGAACGCAUUGGCUGUAUCGGGCAGCCAUGGUGUGGUUGAAGGUUGCGAUAAAGUAACCGCGCGCUAACGACUACGCCUUACCCGCGCAUGCAGGGAGAUGCGCGCGCGCAGCGAGCUGGGUGGCUUCGAGUUCAUGCCGCGGGCAAAUGCGAAGUACUACAAAGACAUGUACGCCCGCAUCGGCGACUCGCUCACGCCGCAGCAGUACAGGUGGGUCGGCGGGCUAGGCCCGGCAAGAUGGCCAUCCAUCCACCGUCCGCGUGCAGGGACCGUUGCGGUUUGCUGGCCUGAGUCGUGAAGGCUUGGACAGUCUGGUAUGCCGUACACAAUGCCUGUGUUUUCACUUCUGCCCCGCACCGCAGGGAGGUGGAGGAGCUGGGCAUCCUGGUGGACAAGGACGACCAGGUGCGCACGUGCGCGUGUGGGCAUAUGGGCAUGUGUGGGCUCUUGUGUUGGAUUGUAUGCGACGGCAGGCUCGGCUUGGGGAGGCCUUGCCCGGCGGCACACCAAGGACCUAUCGCGGCUCACCAGGCAGUCUGGCCGCAGGCGGCUCACGCAGCGCAUGUGCCGCCCUUCGCCGCUUGUCCGCAGGGCGUGCUGCUGCAGAUCUUCACCAAGCCGCUGGGCGACCGGCCCACGGUGUUUAUUGAGAUCAUCCAGCGUGUGGGCUGCAUGCGGGAGGUGAAGGAGCCUGCUACGGGCGCUGUGGUGGGGACGGAGCAGGCGGCUGGCUGCGGCGGCUUCGGGAAAGGCAACUUCGGCGCCCUCUUCAAGUCCAUUGAGGACUAUGAGCGCACCCUAAAUGUGUAGAGCACGUCAGAGCUAGGCUAGCAGCAGAUAAGUAACGCAGGAGGUCACGAGAUAUGUGGUGGCGGUGCCAGGUGCACCGUACUCGAGUCAGGUAGAUUACAUGCUAGCAGAGCGAGGUAGCAUGCGCGCUCAGUAGGCUCAUGUCAGCCGCUGGAUUGCAAUGGAAUGCAACGGUGCGGCGCUACUGCGUACGCUCUUCAGUUGGUGGGGUGUGUGCGCAAUGUGCUUAGAGUGUGCACUGUGUGUGUAGCAAGUGAAUGGGUCCCGCGCACUAUGCUGAAGGUGCGUGGUGGUGGCGCCGCCGCAUUGGCCUAGAGCCACGCAAGCUUGUGGUGACCAGGCUGUGCAUAGCAGUUGCAGGUCCCAGGAGCACAUGGUCGUAAAAACAAAAAGGCCCUGUGUGGGGGGGCUGGCAGUGUAUGAAGGAGUGGCAAUGCGCCCAGAUGCUGCAGACAGGCAGUUGCUGCGCCUACUCAGCGCCGCCUAGGGGCUGACGCCUAGAGACGUCAUUUUGACAUCAGAUGACGUUAUGUGCGGAGCCCGCGGGCACUGCAGCACAGGGGGAUGCUGGUGCCCCUAAUCAGCGAUGCAUGAAAGGGGCGCGUCGGCGUGACAGACCAAAGCUGCGCGAGAGAACAAGAGACUCGCCGUUACACGACUGCUCUAGUCCGUCCAUUUGAAUUGUACAUGUCACAUGUGCCCACCCCAAGACCCAGUGCGCGGCGGCUUGAAUGCUUUAAUGUCAUCUGAAUACAUCUGCCCAGAGAGGCCCAAGGCGCCAACGUGCCCUGGGCACUACCAGGCCCCUGCGCAAGCAUGCCUGAGCAUGCCCAUGUGCAGCGGUUGGCACCCGAGCUGCGACUGGCGCUGCCAGGUAAAUCGCUCUUGACUUCAAUACGCGCAGGAUCAUGAUAUAUAAAAGCCAAUGCUCACAGAGCGAGUACGCUGGCUGAGGUUGGAAGUCGCGGGGUCACGCGGGGUCGCUAAUUUGGGGGGCACAAUUACGCUGAUGACGAGCUGCCGCUUCUCCCGUACCUUUAUUCGCCUACUUAUGCAUGCGUUCAGCGUGAUGCCUGAUGUGUAGACAGCUCCGGCACCCUUCGCCGACGUCAGAGCGGUGUCAGAGCGAUCGAGUGCAUCGAGUCUGGGGUGCGCAUUCGCUGCUGCUUUCAGCAUAAAAUACUGUCAUGCGAACUUGAUAUACACAACAUCAGCGCUAGCGCCGUUCGCCGUGUCUCCAGAACCCAGAAGGCCUUGUGACUGGUCACGCUCGCGCGACACGACUUACCGCUCCAUUUAUAGCCCAUACCAACUAUGGGAGCGGGUGGUGCAGGCACCGGAGAUCGGGAGGGGGGCAUUAAGCUCGUGGGCUACAAGAAUUUCGUGCGCCAGAACCCGCUUUCAGACAAAUUCACCGUCCACAAGUUUCAUCACAUCGAUUUCUGGUGCGGAGAUGCAACAAACACAUCGAAGCGGUAAGAGUUGCAAGGGGUGAGCGUUUUUCGGGCUGGUUCGGCUACGUGGAUGGAACGUUCGCUGGGCCACGCGGACUUCUGGUGUGGAACUGCCGUUGCAUACUCCUUGAGAGGAACAAACCAGCGCAUGAUGGCCCUCAAAAUGCAUGGCGGUGUUAACUUGUGUCUUGCGGGUUCGUGGGGACCGGGGCGCUGCGGGCGCGUGGCUGCGGUACCCAAACCUGGUCCUCAGGAACGACCGUGUACCUGGCACCUCCACCUUGAUGAUAGAGGCCUGCGAGUUCAAUCUAUGUGUUCAUGUCAUGCGGCGCAGGUUCUCCUACGGCCUGGGCAUGCCGCUGGUCGCCAAGUCCGACCAGUCCACCAACAACCAGCUCUUUGCCUCCUACGUGCUGCGCUCCAACGACCUGGUCUUCACCUUCACCGCGCCCUACAGCCGCAAGUGCGCCUCGGUCAGCGAGGGCGUUCCGCUGCGUCACUACAACAUCGACCAUGCGUAUGAGUUCAUCAACUCGCACGGGCUGGCGGUGCGGGCAGUAGGUGCGCAGGAGGAUAUGGCCGUGGUUGCCGGGAGCGAUGCGAGCUUCCGAUCACGUCUUGACUGGCCAGCUGCACCCUGCCGUCGCCUUACUUCUUUUCCCCAGGCCUGCUGGUGGAUGACGCCAAGACGGCGUACGAGGUGUCUGUGGCGCACGGGGCCAAGGGCGUGCUGCCGCCGGUGGAGCUGCGGGAUGAGGCGAGCGGCACCAGCCAGGUCAUCUCGGAGGUGCUGCUGUACGGCGAGGUCGUGCUGCGGUAAGGCGGGCUGUGGAGCGCGCAUUGAUUGAAGUGUAUUGCACACUAAACCCAGUUACGCAUGGCAUGGAUACAAACAGAUUACUAAAUGGGGAAACUGUAGAUGGCUGCACACGCGGCAACGGUGUACACCGGGGCUCGGGCCUGCGAUCAUGCGUGCGGUUGUACGGUUGGUAUCCGAGCCUGAAGUCAGUGCUGCACCCCGCCUUACCCCCGCACGCCCGCGCAGCUACGUGUCGGGCUCCUUCCAGGGCCCCUUCCUGGCCGGCUACACGCCCGUCACAGACUCGGCCGUGACCUCCUUCGGCCUGCAACGUCUGGACCACGCGGUGCGGCAGCCAGGGGGAAAGCAGGGCCUGGGGAAUCUGGGAGGUCCGGAGGGGGUUUGGAGGAUUGGUUACAAGGAGCUGGAAUGCGAUGUAAAAGGGGGGUGCUGCCUUGAUGCGCGGGCGCGUCUACUGCUAGGCAUCGUGAAGCUUCCUUCGCGCCUAGCUGUCCACAGCGGUGUGGGCUGUGGGUAAUACACCGUAGAUAACGCUUAGCGCUUCGUAUUUGUGCUAUAUUGUGUGCAGGUGGGCAACACCCAUGACCUGAUCAAGGCCGUGGAGUACAUCACCGGCUUCACAGGUGGGUACAGCACUCACCAAACACCAUAAUUAAUUGGCCACCACAUUGGCAAUUUGCACUGCCUCCUUCGUUUUCUUUCACCAGGUUUCCACGAGUUCUCAGAGUUUGUUGCGGAGGACGUGGGCACUGUGGACAGCGGCCUGAACAGCAUGGUGCGUGCGGCGGGGGUGAGACGCGGACUGGCCCUGAUUGGUACUUACGGGCUCCUUGGGGAUUUCGGGUUUACAAAGGAAUCCACCCCAGCGUAGAGGCUGCUUAUUUAGGGGACCCUAGGCUGCUGCCCACAAUCGCAGGUAUGCUAGGCCGCGCCAUACCCUCGGGCCACGCCACAGUUGUACCCACGUUGCGGUAAUGGUGUGUCGUUUCGAUGCGUCCAGGUGCUGGCCUCCAACAACGAGGCAGUGCUGCUGCCUGUGAACGAGCCCACCUUUGGCACGCCGCGCAAGAGCCAAAUCCAGACCUACCUGGAGCAGAACGAGGGGCCGGGGCUGCAGCACCUGGCGCUGCUCAGCAACGACAUCUUCACCACCCUGCGGUGAGUGGCCGGGUUCCGUAUUUCCAUGGCUUCAGCUGGCGCUGUGGGAACGCAUUGGCUGUAUCGGGCAGCCAUGGUGUGGUUGAAGGUUGCGAUAAAGUAACCGCGCGCUAACGACUACGCCUUACCCGCGC